GGCCAGAGAGGAUCGAAACAGUUGAUGCUCCAAAGGACCUGGAAGUUUUGAUUCAGAAACUAAGAAGCUGCAUUAAAGACAGGUUGUAUACUUGUCCUCUUGCGAUGGGAAUGGUAGGAGGCAAGAGAUCCCUUCCCCUUUCUCUUCAUAGCUCUGGAAGAUACAAGAGGGGAAAAGAUGGGUAUGGAUAUUGGACGGGAGUUUACCACUGCCUGUUUGCACCCAGUUGGAUGUUACUAUCCUGAGUUCAGCUAGUGAGGAGCAUCUUAUCUGGUCAACUCUAUACCAC
This 289-nucleotide long non-coding RNA is filed under the name Calidris pugnax (ruff). Its description in RNAcentral is "lncRNA (ENSCPUG00000006508.1)". Lineage: Eukaryota; Metazoa; Chordata; Aves; Charadriiformes; Scolopacidae. The record is from RNAcentral.